Molecule: transfer-messenger RNA, 356 nt
Filed under: Bacilli
Lineage: Bacteria; Bacillati; Bacillota
Also listed under: 1 other name
Description: CALVVX01 sp944359705 Standard tmRNA
Rfam family: transfer-messenger RNA
About the family: Bacterial tmRNA, also known as 10Sa RNA or SsrA, is named for its dual tRNA and mRNA-like properties. Its role is to liberate the mRNA from a stalled ribosome. To accomplish this part of the tmRNA is used as a reading frame that ends in a translation stop signal.
Source: RNAcentral
GGGGGCGUUUAGGCUUCGACAGGAAUACUCUCAGUUUUAAAGGCAAGUCGUAUUGUACUACGUAAAAGACUAAAUUAAAAAUAACUGGAAACAGCUAUAAUAAUGCUGUAGCUUAUGCUUAAUAGAUAGGUAUAACUACAGGUUCUUCUAUUUCUUUGCUUACGGGAAAUAACAAGGACUUAUACAGUAAGCUAUAUUGUUUGUAAUUACUAUAGCAAUCAAUGAAUAUAAUAGUAUAGAUAUAUAAUUAUUUGUUAGUUAAUAUUUAUAUAUUGAUAUUAAAUAACUAACUAAACUUGUAGAAUUUUUAAUUAGAUGAUUUCUGGACAGGGGUUCGAUUCCCCUCGCCUCCACCA